AUUGACCAAGGGAAUGUUUUACUCGCGAAUUUUUCAGCGAGAGACGGAAUGGAUGCUCGCUAGCUUUCCUCAAAGUUAGCUCAUAAAAGACAACUACAAGGAUUGA
Vibrio sp. is the source of this 106-nucleotide regulatory RNA element. It matches the Rfam family "gltS RNA". The record is from Rfam. Lineage: Bacteria; Pseudomonadati; Pseudomonadota; Gammaproteobacteria; Vibrionales; Vibrionaceae.